AUCUGUAGCGGGUCUGAGAGGAUGAUCCGCACACUGGACUGAGACACGGCCCAGACUCCUACGGGAGGCAGCAGUGGGGAAUUUUGGACAAUGGGCGCAAGCCUGAUCCAGCCAUGCCGCGUGCGGGACGAAGGCCUUCGGGUUGUAAACCGCUUUCAGCCGGAAAGAAAAUCGCCAAGGCUAAUAUCCUUGGUGGAUGACGGUACCGGAAGAAGAAGCACCGGCUAACUACGUGCCAGCAGCCGCGGUAAUACGUAGGGUGCGAGCGUUAAUCGGAAUUACUGGGCGUAAAGGGUGCGCAGGCGGUUUUGCAAGCCAGACGUGAAAAUCCCCGGGCUUAACCUGGGAACUGCGUUUGGAACUGCAAGACUAGAGUGUGUCAGAGGGAGGUGGAAUUCCAC
Molecule: ribosomal RNA, 401 nt
Filed under: uncultured bacterium
Lineage: Bacteria
Description: bacterial SSU rRNA
Rfam family: Bacterial small subunit ribosomal RNA
Source: RNAcentral